GGACUACACGGGUAUCUAAUCCUGUUUGCUCCCCACGCUUUCGAGCCUCAACGUCAGUUACAGUCCAGUAAGCCGCCUUCGCCACUGGUGUUCCUCCUAAUAUCUACGCAUUUCACCGCUACACUAGGAAUUCCGCUUACCUCUCCUGCACUCCAGCUGCACAGUUUCCAAAGCAGUUCCAUGGUUAAGCCAUGGGAUUUCACUCCAGACUUGCGCUGCCGUCUACGCUCCCUUUACACCCAGUAAAUCCGGAUAACGCUUGCCCCCUACGUAUUACCGCGGCGGCUGGCACU
RNAcentral lists this unclassified non-coding RNA (293 nucleotides) under uncultured Lachnospiraceae bacterium. RNAcentral's name for it is "contains 16S-23S intergenic spacer region". Lineage: Bacteria; Bacillati; Bacillota; Clostridia; Lachnospirales; Lachnospiraceae. The record is from RNAcentral.